RNAcentral lists this ribosomal RNA (1285 nucleotides) under metagenome. RNAcentral describes it as "bacterial SSU rRNA". It matches the Rfam family "Bacterial small subunit ribosomal RNA", at positions 242 to 1520 of the family's 1533-position model. The record is from RNAcentral.
UAGCUAGUUGGUGAGGUAAAGGCUUACCAAGGCGACGAUCUGUAGCGGGUCUGAGAGGAUGAUCCGCCACACUGGAACUGAGACACGGUCCAGACUCCUACGGGAGGCAGCAGUGGGGAAUUUUGGACAAUGGGGGCAACCCUGAUCCAGCCAUGCCGCGUGAGUGAAGAAGGCCUUCGGGUUGUAAAGCUCUUUCGGCCGGGAAGAAAUCGCAUGGGCCAAUACCCUGUGUGGAUGACGGUACCGGAAUAAGAAGCACCGGCUAACUACGUGCCAGCAGCCGCGGUAAUACGUAGGGUGCGAGCGUUAAUCGGAAUUACUGGGCGUAAAGCGUGCGCAGGCGGUUUUGUAAGACAGGCGGGAGAUCCCCGGGCUUAACCUGGGAACUGCGUUUGUGACUGCAAGGCUAGAGUACGGCAGAGGGGGGUGGAAUUCCACGUGUAGCAGUGAAAUGCGUAGAGAUGUGGAGGAACACCAAUGGCGAAGGCAGCCCCCUGGGUCGAUACUGACGCUCAUGCACGAAAGCGUGGGUAGCAAACAGGAUUAGAUACCCUGGUAGUCCACGCCCUAAACUAUGUCAACUAGGUGUUGGGUGGGUAAAACCAUUUAGUACCGUAGCUAACGCGUGAAGUUGACCGCCUGGGGAGUACGGCCGCAAGGUUAAAACUCAAAGGAAUUGACGGGGACCCGCACAAGCGGUGGAUGAUGUGGAUUAAUUCGAUGCAACGCGAAAAACCUUACCUACCCUUGACAUGCCAGGAACUUGCCAGAGAUGGCUUGGUGCCCGAAAGGGAGCCUGGACACAGGUGCUGCAUGGCUGUCGUCAGCUCGUGUCAUGAGAUGUUGGGUUAAGUCCCGCAACGAGCGCAACCCUUGUCGUUAAUUGCCAUCAUUUAGUUGGGCACUUUAACGAGACUGCCGGUGACAAACCGGAGGAAGGUGGGGAUGACGUCAAGUCCUCAUGGCCCUUAUGGGUAGGGCUUCACACGUCAUACAAUGGUCGGUACAAAGGGUUGCCAAGCCGCGAGGCGGAGCCAAUCCCAGAAAGCCGAUCAUAGUCCGGAUUGCAGGCUGCAACUCGCCUGCAUGAAGUCGGAAUCGCUAGUAAUCGUGGAUCAGCAUGUCACGGUGAAUACGUUCCCGGGUCUUGUACACACCGCCCGUCACACCAUGGGAGCGGGUUCCGCCAGAAGUAGGUAGCCUAACCGCAAGGGGGGCGCUUACCACGGCGGGGUUCGUGACUGGGGUGAAGUCGUAACAAGGUAGCCGUAGGGGCCUGCGGCUG